AUUGAACGCUGGCGGCAUGCCUUACACAUGCAAGUCGAACGGCAGCACGGGGCAACCUGGUGGCGAGUGGCGAACGGGUGAGUAAUGCAUCGGAACGUACCCGGAAGUGGGGGAUAACGUAGCGAAAGUUACGCUAAUACCGCAUAUUCUGUGAGCAGGAAAGAGGGGGAUCUUCGGACCUCUUGCUUUCGGAGCGGCCGAUGUCAGAUUAGCUAGUUGGUAAGGUAAAGGCUCACCAAGGCGACGAUCUGUAGCGGGUCUGAGAGGAUGAUCCGCCAGACGGGGACUGAGACACGGCCCAGACUCCGACGGGAGGCAGCAGUGGGGAAUUUUGGACAAUGGGCGCAAGCCUGAUCCAGCCAUGCCGCGUGAGUGAAGAAGGCCUUCGGGUUGUAAAGCUCUUUCGGCCGGGAAGAAAUCGCGUGAGUUAAUACCUUGCGUGGAUGACGGUACCGGAAUAAGAAGCACCGGCUAACUACGUGCCAGCCGCCGCGGUAA
Molecule: ribosomal RNA, 498 nt
Filed under: uncultured bacterium
Lineage: Bacteria
Description: partial 16S ribosomal RNA
Rfam family: Bacterial small subunit ribosomal RNA
Source: RNAcentral